This 254-nucleotide ribosomal RNA is filed under the name uncultured bacterium. RNAcentral's name for it is "partial 16S ribosomal RNA". It matches the Rfam family "Bacterial small subunit ribosomal RNA", at positions 524 to 776 of the family's 1533-position model. The record is from RNAcentral.
UACGGGGGGAGCAAGCGUUGUUCGGAUUUACUGGGCGUAAAGGGCGCGUAGGCGGUCAGCACAAGUCAGUUGUGAAAUCUCCGGGCUUAACUCGGAAAGGUCAACUGAUACUGUGCGACUAGAGUGCAGAAGGGGCAACUGGAAUUCUCGGUGUAGCGGUGAAAUGCGUAGAUAUCGAGAGGAACACCUGCGGCGAAGGCGGGUUGCUGGACCGACAUUGACGCUGAGGCGCGAAAGCCAGGGGAGCAAACGGG